UAUAGAGGGUGCGAGCGUUAAUCGGAAUUACUGGGCGUAAAGCGCACGUAGGCGGCUUGGUAUGUCGGGUGUGAAAUCCCCGGGCUCAACCUGGGAACUGCAUCCGAAACUGCCUUGCUCGAGUAUGGGAGAGGGAAGUGGAAUUUCCGGUGUAGCGGUGAAAUGCGUAGAUAUCGGAAGGAACAUCAGUGGCGAAGGCGACUUCCUGGACCAAUACUGACGCUCAGGUGCGAAAGCGUGGGGAGCAAACAGG
This 253-nucleotide ribosomal RNA is filed under the name uncultured bacterium. RNAcentral's name for it is "partial 16S ribosomal RNA". It matches the Rfam family "Bacterial small subunit ribosomal RNA", at positions 524 to 776 of the family's 1533-position model. The record is from RNAcentral.